This 599-nucleotide ribosomal RNA is filed under the name Anoplotrupes stercorosus. Its description in RNAcentral is "partial 16S large subunit ribosomal RNA". It matches the Rfam family "Bacterial large subunit ribosomal RNA", at positions 1860 to 2843 of the family's 2925-position model. The record is from RNAcentral. Lineage: Eukaryota; Metazoa; Arthropoda; Insecta; Coleoptera; Geotrupidae.
UGCCCAAUGAAAUUUGAAUGGCCGCGGUAUAUUGACUGUGCGAAGGUAGCAUAAUAAUUAGUUUUUUAAUUGGAAACUGGUAUGAAUGGUUGGACGAGAAAAAAGCUGUCUCUAUUUAAUUUAAUUAGAAUUUUAUCUUUAAGUAAAAAAGCUUAAAUAUAUUUAAAAGACGAGAAGACCCUAUAGAGUUUUAUAUAAUUAAUAUAUUAAAUUUUGAAGAAUUAAUAUUUUAUUGUUUUAAUUAUAUUUGGUUGGGGUGACUAAAAAAUUGAAUUAACUUUUUUUAUUAAUUAAACAUUAAUGUAUGAAUGUAUGAUCCAUUAUUUAUGAUUAAAAGAUUAAAUUACCUUAGGGAUAACAGCGUAAUUUUUUUUGAGAGUUCUUAUCGAAAAAAAAGAUUGCGACCUCGAUGUUGGAUUAAAAUUAACUUUUGGUGUAGAAGCUAAAAAUGUUAGGUCUGUUCGACCUUUAAAAUUUUACAUGAUCUGAGUUUAAACCGGUGUGAGCCAGGUUGGUUUCUAUCUUUAAAAAAUUUAAAAUAUUUUAGUACGAAAGGACCAAAUAUUUAUAAAAAUUAUUUUUAUUAAGAAUGUUAUUAA